CUUCCUUACAAAAAACUUUUUCAGGGCUGCCAGACAAGGUCCACACCAAUUCCUUCAAUCAAACAGUAUUUGCAGAACUCAUAAAAGCAUGCUAGCCUUUGUACACACACAUCCCUGAAAGCCACACUGCACUCUGUCCGCAGAAACAGGGAGGUUCAACAAGUCAGCUACCACAAUAAAGUUACUAAAGAUACGAGGUGCACCAUGAAAUGACUAUUCAGACAGCUCAGAUAAACUCACCAACAUUACUGCAGCUAUAAGGGAAUUAAGGACACCUAUUAGUGAUUGCUUAACAAGUAAACUUAUUAAAUACCAUUUAAGUCACUUUACUUAGCAACUAUUGACUUUUUUUUUUUUUUGGCUAGGCUAAUGGACUACAAAAGAGUUAGAUAAGCACUUCAAAAAGUUUCAGAAGAGAAUAGAUUCCUUCUGCCAAAUUCACAUAUUAUCUCUCUACUCACAAGGAUAAAAUAGUUACAAAUGGUGUUUAAACUGCUAAUUUUGUAUUAAAUGGUGAACCCAAGAUUAUCUCCAAAGCAUAACACUCCUCAUAAUGGAUAGCUCGCUCACCAGACAAACUACUGUUGAGAAAGAGUGACACGUUAAAACAUUGCAGAUAAAAACUGCAAACUUCAAAAGUCUCCUUCAAAAAGUCAAGUGCCACGCUAGAGCGUCUUUUUUUUUUUUUUUUUUUUUUUUAGAAGGCUGUAAAUCAAACAUUUCUAAAACCAUCAGGACACAAUGAAAGCCUCAAAGAAAGACAAGAAGUUGCCAAGGAGCAAGACUUAAAUGUUUAGGAAUCUUCAGCAAAGCAUCAUCUCUAAAACUUAUAAAGAUCAUAAUUACAACUUUUUUUAAGUCCAAAAGCAUUAACAUAGAUAGUCAAAGGGCUCAAUGAAGGAGUUUCCUCUUCUAUUUACCCUACAGAAGUUUUCGGAUGGGGAUAAGAGCCCGGUAAGGCAAUGCUGCUGAUUAAUCGCAUGGGCCUGGGUACCUCCUCCAGCUUUGUAAGGGCACACCUCUACGGAGUCAAGCUGCACAGCUCUCCCUGUCCUAUGAAGGCAGGGCUUUGAGUCUGCACCCAAGGAAGGAAAAGGACACCACGGAACAGGCUGUCUACGCUGCGGGCUGCUAUGCAAUCAUUCCAUGGAGUCCCCUUCUUUUCAUUCAUAACUCACCCAAGAGUAAAGCACAGAAGGCCCACAAAGCUUAGGCCCUGCAGACAUCCGAUCACCCCAAAGAUUCAAAGACAAGCCAACCUUUACGAAUCGCCCCCAUCCGAGGCGCGCAUAUUAACUGCCAUUAUUAGUGCGCUGGCUGUCUAGUAACAAGUUGAUAAAAUCACGGCCAAGGAAGCGGGAAGACAUCCACCCAGCUAACCAUCCGCAGAAGCUUCAGUUGAGAGUCCCUCCUCCAAAGAGUAGGCACGGCUUAAAGGUCUCCCUAGCCAGUUUCCUUUGGAAUGUAGAUCUCUUUCAUUUGGUCCAAGGUGGAGGUCCUGUCAGUGAGAUACGCCAUCUCCCCAUUUGCAGGUCCUUCGCAUCAGUCUUUGGCCGAGGGACGGGCAGGCGGUAUCCCUCCCACCCUCUGUAAUGUGAAGCAUGCAGCGAGGGCUGCCUUCCAUCGCCACUCCAGGGAACCCCCGAUCCCCACUCCUCGACCAGCUCCGCCUCCUCCCCUGCCUGCUGCUGCUUGUCCAGAGCCCCGCAGAAGGGUCACCGGCGCCCAGGUGAGGCGGACGGCAGGUUCCGGGGAAGAACCCGACGUUGUGCAGCCCUUCAGACAAACCUGGCCGCACCCAAAAAGAACAUGCAUGGAUGGAAAAGCAAAGCCUGCAACCUGAAACGAGCCACCCCAUCCCUCAUCACUUGUCUUUUCAAAGUUGGCAUUCAACAGUUCUUGCACAGGUGUCGCCUAGACAGUUUCUCUGUAUGAAGUCUGCACUGAAGGAGUGGGGAAGACCUUGAGGAUCUUCUGAUGGAGUUCAUCUUUCUGCAGCCCCGGAGACUGUAAUUCAGACACCGCCCCCAAAAGAAGUCUGGAAACUUUGAGUCUCGCCACGUGCAGGCCAGAGGAGUCCAACACCAUUAUCACCCUCUAUGCACAGACUGCUGGCUGCCAAACUAACAUAUCUAAGGCACGUGCUCAAGGGCUCAGAGGUUCCCAGUCACCCAGAAAAUAAACUUUUAAUUCCCUGCCCCUUUUUGGAACAUGCCUUUUCCUUCCUCAUCUAGUCCUCUGAGAAUUGAACCCCUCCUUCAAAAGCCAGAUCCAAUUCCCACUUCCUCCGUGGAGUCUUCCUUCCCUGGCCAGAAUAGCUUUGUUCAGAUAUUUGCAAAUAUUUGGUUAGGAUGAAUCUGCUUCUACUUGCUACCACACCCAAAAUGUUAAAAAGACAAAAAGAAAGAAAGAAAACUCAUUAAGAAUUUUCUUGAGUAAACAACUUACCAAGGUUACAUUUUAAAGCUGAAAAAAAAAAUUUAACGUGCAACAGAAAACACACUUGAAAAAAAUCCACAGAUCUCUAUUACCACAUUUGGACCACCCAGAGCUUCCGCUCAGGAGGGAGGCACCUGGGAAAGCAGGACUCUGGAGGGAGUGGCUUUUUAGUUUCUCCAAAACCGGGCCUAACCAGUGCUGCCUGCAACUGGGCACCAUUGGUCCUGACAAUGACCCCUACAAGGUCUUAUUUUUUUCAUUUAGAUAUAGCGUCUCCCUCUGUCGCACAGGCUGGCGUGCGGUGGUGUGAUCACAGCUCACUGUGCCCAAGUAUCGAACUUCUGUGCCCAAGUAUCCUCCCAGCUUAGCCUCCUGAGUAGCUGGGACUACAGGUGCC
This 2836-nucleotide long non-coding RNA is filed under the name Homo sapiens (human). RNAcentral's name for it is "HSALNT0276710". The record is from RNAcentral. Lineage: Eukaryota; Metazoa; Chordata; Mammalia; Primates; Hominidae.